UUGAUUGCUUACGCGGUUACUCGGAGCAGCCUAGUGACGAUAUGGUUUGGGGGCCUGGCGGCGGGCACCCCCUGGGGGGCCGGGGGCUCCGCCCUGGAGCCGCCCGCCGAGGCAACGUUUUGGUAUGUUCGCGAUGGUUUGGAGUCUUGCAACUCUUCAAUGAUCCCUCCGCUGGUUCACCAACGGAGA
RNAcentral lists this unclassified non-coding RNA (189 nucleotides) under uncultured fungus. RNAcentral describes it as "sequence contains ITS1". The record is from RNAcentral. Lineage: Eukaryota; Fungi.